UCUGAAUCUGCGUACGGCUCCGCACACCAGUUGCAAACUAUAGCAAGCCCGCUUGCCGUACCUGCCGCAAGGUAAGGGCGGUAGGCAGAUGGAUAACCCUGGUAAUUCUGCGGCUAAUACAAGAAUGCAAAACCUCACUAACUGGGCAACCGGAAGGUGGGGGGACGUGCUCUUCAAGUUGCAAGUAUAACCGGGAAAGGGGGCACGUCACGACCGCGCUAAAAAGGAAGGUUGCUCUUCGGGGCUUCCCUCUAGCGGCUCUUGCUGUGUACUUCUGACCUAUCAACUAGAUGGCAGCGUAAGGGACAUGCUAUGGU
RNAcentral lists this ribosomal RNA (317 nucleotides) under Didymium difforme. RNAcentral's name for it is "bacterial SSU rRNA". It matches the Rfam family "Eukaryotic small subunit ribosomal RNA", at positions 80 to 350 of the family's 1831-position model. The record is from RNAcentral. Lineage: Eukaryota; Evosea; Eumycetozoa; Physariida; Didymiaceae.